GACGAACGCUGGCGGCGUGCUUAACACAUGCAAGUCGAACGGUGAAGCGCCUUCCUUUUUGGUGGGUGUGGAUGAGUGGCGAACGGGUGAGUAACACGUGAGUAACCUGCCCCCUUCUUCUGGAUAACCGCAUGAAAGUGUGGCUAAUACUGGAUAUUCUGGAUCUGUCGCAUGAUGGGUCUGGGACAGAUAUUCUUUCAGUGGGAGAUGUGCUCGCGGCCUAUCAGCUUGUUGGUGGGGUAAUGGCCUGCCAAGGCGAUGACGGAUAGCCGGCCUGGGAGGGGGAACGGCGACGUGGGGAAUGAGACACGGCCGGGACGCCUACGGGAGGAAGAAGUGGGGAAUAUUGCAAAAUGGGGGAAAGACGGAUGCAGGGACGCCGCGUGAAGGAAGAAGUAGCUCGGGAUGUAAACUUCUAUCAGAAGGGAAGAUAGUGACGGUACCUGAAGAAGAAGCCCCGGCUAACUACGUG
This 472-nucleotide ribosomal RNA is filed under the name uncultured bacterium. RNAcentral's name for it is "partial 16S ribosomal RNA". It matches the Rfam family "Bacterial small subunit ribosomal RNA", at positions 28 to 507 of the family's 1533-position model. The record is from RNAcentral.